RNAcentral lists this unclassified non-coding RNA (870 nucleotides) under Hevea brasiliensis (rubber tree). Lineage: Eukaryota; Viridiplantae; Streptophyta; Magnoliopsida; Malpighiales; Euphorbiaceae. The record is from RNAcentral.
CCCAAAGUACUUAUCUAUCCUGAACCAUCGACGCUUUUACCUGCCUGAGGUCUUCCCAAAGCUCAACAAAGUGCUGUUCUUAGAUGAUGAUAUAGUUGUACAAAAGGACCUUACAGGCCUUUGGUCCCUUGAUUUGAAGGGUAAUGUUAAUGGUGCUGUAGAGACUUGUGGAGAAAGCUUUCAUCGUUUUGAUCGAUAUCUCAACUUCUCAAAUUCUCUUAUCUCAAAAAAUUUUGAUCCUCAUGCUUGUGGAUGGGCAUAUGGAAUGAAUAUAUUUGAUUUGGAGGAAUGGAAGAGGCAAAACAUCACUGAGGUGUAUCAUAGAUGGCAGAAACUGAAUCAUGACAGAUCAUUGUGGAAGUUGGGGACUCUGCCGGCUGGCCUCAUUACUUUCUGGAAAAGGACUCAUUCCCUUGACCGAUCUUGGCAUGUGCUGGGCCUUGGCUAUAACCCCAAUGUCAACCAAAGAGUGAUUGAACGAGCAGCGGUUAUACACUACAAUGGCAACAUGAAGCCAUGGCUUGAGAUAGGCAUACCCAAAUACCGCAACUAUUGGGUGAAAUAUGUAGAUUAUGAUCAUGUGUACUUGCGAGAGUGCAACAUUAACCCCUAGAAGAGCUCUCUUGGUAUCCAGUCAUUAGAGGUCUGCUGCACAACCCAUGUGGCCAAACAUUUUUUACAGUUUUGCAUCACUCUGUGUAGGUUCUUUUGCUAUCUACAUAGAAGCUUCUGAGCUCAAUUCUUUCUGUAUACAAUAUUUUCCCCUAUCCUUUUGGCAUGGUAGUUAAUUUUGAAACCCUUGGUUACAUAUCCACAAAUUGGCAGUUGUAUUUGUAAAUGAUUGUGAGUGUUUUUAUUUUUUUUGGCUGU